AGUGAACGCUGGCGGUAGGCCUAACACAUGCAAGUCGAACGGCAGCACAGUAAGAGCUUGCUCUUACGGGUGGCGAGUGGCGGACGGGUGAGGAAUACAUCGGAAUCUACUUUUUCGUGGGGGAUAACGUAGGGAAACUUACGCUAAUACCGCAUACGACCUACGGGUGAAAGCAGGGGAUCUUCGGACCUUGCGCGAUUGAAUGAGCUGAUGUCGGAUUAGCUAGUUGGCGGGGUAAAGGCCCACCAAGGCGACGAUCCGUAGCUGGUCUGAGAGGAUGAUCAGCCACACUGGAACUGAGACACGGUCCAGACUCCUACGGGAGGCGGCAGUGGGGAAUAUUGGACAAUGGGCGCAAGCCUGAUCCAGCCAUACCGCGUGGGUGAAGAAGGCCUUCGGGUUGUAAAGCCCUUUUGUUGGGAAAGAAAAGCAGCAGGUUAAUACCCCGCUGUUCUGACGGUACCCAAAGAAUAAGCACCGGCUAACUUCGUG
RNAcentral lists this ribosomal RNA (492 nucleotides) under uncultured bacterium. RNAcentral describes it as "partial 16S ribosomal RNA". It matches the Rfam family "Bacterial small subunit ribosomal RNA", at positions 29 to 507 of the family's 1533-position model. The record is from RNAcentral.